UAUAUUGACAAUUUUUGCCACAUGUCAAUAGAUACUAUUUCCUCCUCAAACCCUAAGACAAAAAUCCGCUGGAUCCUCAACUUCGUGUUCCUCCUCCUCUAAAUCAAGGACAAGCACCACCCCUGAAAGUAGAAGCAAACCAAGGGGCUUCCCCCUAUCCAAGGAUGAAUCAAUAUGAUUUCCGGAGGUACUACUAAUGGUGAUACGAUCAUGCAAAAGGUAUAAUCGGGAGAAAUACAUGAUUGUCCAUCUACCUGAAGCAAAGACCGGACCUGUCUUAGGGUUCAGUUCCGGUGACUUGAAGGGUGUCAUCUUCUCACACAAUGAUGCUAUGGGAAUUGAAGAUGAACCAUGGACUAAAAUUUGAAUCAAACCAAAUGAAUCCAAUGCCAAGGUUGAGGAGAAUUGGUCCAAGAUUUAAGGGAUUCACUUGAAGCAUCAAUCAGUUCAUCUAUUGGAGCUGGUUCAAUUUAGAGUCUUGUUCAAGAUUGAAGGAGUGUUCGGUUCAAAUUAAAGUUCAUUUAAUUUGAGAAUGGUUUAACCUGGUUGAAUUUGAAACUUGGUUCAAACUUAAGAGGAGGCUAGUUUAAUUGAAGCAAUGAACCAGUUCAUCUCAAGGAUCAUCUGCCGGUUCAAGGGAUGGUGGCUACUUCUCCUCACAAAAGAAUUGAAAUACAAGUCGAUCCACUCUCUUCACCACUGCCGGUCGACCAUUCCCUCUCCAUCUCUCAACAUGAGUUCUUCUCACGCUGUCAGCCGCCCCUUGUGAUUUUCUGCCUUGACGCACAUCAAUGCCACUAGCACUUUUCCAUCACUACAUGUCGGAUUCAUCUUUGCUUCCUCCAUUCGGGCUAAAAGGGAGGAGACUCACCUCUUCUCCUCGGGUUAGAGGAGAGGAGAGCCAAAACCCCCUCUUCGGGUUAGAGGAGAGGCUUCUUCCACCUCUGCUUUUGAUUAGAAGAGUAGUAUGCCAACCACCUCCGAUCAGUUCACAAUCCUUCUAGUCGACACAGCAUCAACCCCUCUUAGCUUCUAACAACCCUCUUCCACUCUCCUCUUGGGGCUAGAAGAGGAGAGGGCAACACCUUCACCAUCAAGUUCAAGGUUACGAGCUUGAUUCGUUCACCGUUCAUUUGAGAGGAGUUCCAUCUACAACCGCCAUCAUCCACAAGAUCCAAUUGAAGUUUUGGGUUCAUCCAUAAACACUUGAUAAAGGAAAAGUUAAAGUAUAAAGAGGAAGGCGACAAGGAGGAUGCGUGAUGGAUGGUG
Long non-coding RNA from Zingiber officinale, 1269 nucleotides. RefSeq lists it as uncharacterized. The record is from RefSeq and is a predicted model, not a curated record. The transcript is spliced from 3 exons. NCBI's taxonomy places the organism in Eukaryota, Viridiplantae, Streptophyta, Magnoliopsida, Zingiberales, Zingiberaceae.